This 204-nucleotide ribosomal RNA is filed under the name Psychodopygus squamiventris maripaensis. RNAcentral's name for it is "partial large subunit ribosomal RNA". Lineage: Eukaryota; Metazoa; Arthropoda; Insecta; Diptera; Psychodidae. The record is from RNAcentral.
GAUCUUUAUAUAUUAAAUAAUUAGUAAACGUUAGAUUAAUUUUUUUUUUAAUUAUUGAUAUAUUAUAUUGGGGUAAUAAUAAAAUUUUAAAAAUUUUUAUUUUUUAUUAUCAACUAUGAUUGAUUUUUUGAUCCAAUAUUAUUGAUUAUAAAUUUAAGUUACCUUAGGGAUAACAGCGUAAUGAUUUUUGAGAGUUCUUAUUGA